UGGCGGACGGGUGAGUAACACGUGAGAAACCUGCCCUGAAGACGGGGAUAACAGAAGGAAACUUCUGCUAAUACCCGAUACCCCCACCGGAUCGCAUGGUCUGGUGAGGAAAUGGAUUCCGCUUCAGGAGGGUCUCGCGGCCUAUCAGCUUGUUGGUGAGGUAAUGGCUUACCAAGGCUUGGACGGGUAGCUGGUCUGAGAGGACGAUCAGCCACACUGGGACUGAGACACGGCCCAGACUCCUACGGGAGGCAGCAGUAAGGAAUAUUGCGCAAUGGGCGAAAGCCUGACGCAGCAACGCCGCGUGCGGGAUGAAGGCCCUCGGGUUGUAAACCGCUUUCAGUAGGGAAGAAAAUGACGGUACCUACAGAAGAAGCCCCGGCCAACUACGUGCCAGCAGCCGCGGUAAU
RNAcentral lists this ribosomal RNA (410 nucleotides) under uncultured bacterium. RNAcentral describes it as "bacterial SSU rRNA". It matches the Rfam family "Bacterial small subunit ribosomal RNA", at positions 96 to 524 of the family's 1533-position model. The record is from RNAcentral.